GGCAGUGUGGCCUAGUGGCUAGAGCUCUGGACUGGGAUUCAGGAGACCUGGGGUCUGUCCCCAGCUCUGCCA
This 72-nucleotide transfer RNA is filed under the name Chelonia mydas (Green sea turtle). It matches the Rfam family "tRNA". Rfam says of the family: Transfer RNA (tRNA) molecules are approximately 80 nucleotides in length. Their secondary structure includes four short double-helical elements and three loops (D, anti-codon, and T loops). Lineage: Eukaryota; Metazoa; Chordata; Testudines; Cheloniidae. The record is from Rfam by way of RNAcentral.